RNAcentral lists this ribosomal RNA (436 nucleotides) under uncultured bacterium. RNAcentral describes it as "partial 16S ribosomal RNA". It matches the Rfam family "Bacterial small subunit ribosomal RNA", at positions 29 to 507 of the family's 1533-position model. The record is from RNAcentral.
AGCGAACGCUGGCGGCAGGCUUAACACAUGCAAGUCGAGCGGGCAUCCUUGUGGUGUCAGCGGCAGACGGGUGAGUAACGCGUGGGAACGUGCCCUUCGGUUCGGAAUAACUCAGGGAAACUUGAGCUAAUACCGGAUACGCCCUUUUGGGGAAAGGUUUACUGCCGAAGGAUCGGCCCGCGUCUGAUUAGCUAGUUGGUGAGGGUACGGCUCACCAAGGCGACGAUCAGUAGCUGGUCUGAGAGGAUGAUCAGCCACACUGGGACUGAGACACGGCCCAGACUCCUACGGGAGGCAGCAGUGGGGAAUAUUGGACAAUGGGGGCAACCCUGAUCCAGCCAUGCCGCGUGAGUGAUAACAGCCUUAGGGUUGUAAAGCUCUUUUCUCCGGGACGAUAAUGACGGUACCGGAGGAAUAAGCCCCGGCUAACUUCGUG